Molecule: ribosomal RNA, 478 nt
Filed under: uncultured bacterium
Lineage: Bacteria
Description: partial 16S ribosomal RNA
Rfam family: Bacterial small subunit ribosomal RNA
Source: RNAcentral
GACGAACGCUGGCGGCGUGCUUAACACAUGCAAGUCGAACGGUAAGGCCCUUCGGGGUACACGAGUGGCGAACGGGUGAGUAACACGUGGGUGAUCUGCCCUGCACUUCGGGAUAAGCCUGGGAAACUGGGUCUAAUACCGGAUAGGACCACUGCCUGCAUGGGUGGUGGUGGAAAGCUUUUGCGGUGUGGGAUGGGCCCGCGGCCUAUCAGCGUGUUGGUGGGGUGAUGGCCUACCAAGGCGACGACGGGUAGCCGGCCUGGGAGGGUGACCGGCCACACUGGGACUGAGAUACGGCCCAGAAUCCUACGGGAGGCAGCAGUGGGGAAUAUUGCACAAUGGGCGCAAGCCGGAUGCAGCGACGCCGCGUGGGGGAUGACGGCCUUCGGGUUGUAAACCUCUUUCAGCACCGACGAAGCGCAAGUGACGGUAGGUGCAGAAGAAGGACCGGCCAACUACGUGCCAGCCGCCGCGGUAA